GAGAGAGCCGUGGGGAGCAUGGCAGUAACCAGCCUUUUCCUACAGUCCCUACUCCAGUUCCUGCCUCCGAGUUCCUGCUCUGCUUGUGAGCCUGCCUUGGUUGUCCUCAGCGAUGGACCAUGAUCAGGGAUAUAUAGAGUGUCUCUAUGCUCUCACAAGAGGAGAACCUGUGAAACAGGGCAGAACUGACUAUCUGCAGACUUGACCUGAAAGAUCCAUGUGAGUCAGACAGCGAGAGCCUGGUCCUGACUCCUCCGUGCAGAAGCAGUUGUGAAACUUCUGGAAACCACAGUUCCUGUGUCCCCAUCAACUGUAGCACACACCCAUCGGGUCGGCCACUGAUGGUUCGUCUGCCCUGCAGUCAGCCUGAGAGUUAAGAAAGGGCUCUGCCUCAUCCAUCAAUUCUUACCCUGUGCCCAGAUCUGGCCUGCACACAGGGGUGCGCUAUACAUCUCUGUGGUGAGGAACUCAGCCUGUCAAUCCCCACCUGCAUCAGAGUAAGGAAGCUGCAAAUAAACUCUCUGCUAGGAGAGAGCUCAGCAACUCCACCUUGAUGUCAAACUAACAUGCAAAACUAGCCCCGGGUCUGAGAUAUAAGAAAGAUUUGGGUUUCGAACUUCAAAGAACAGCCAGGACUCCGGUGAGCAGGAUCCAUGGUUUCUUUGAAAGUUACUCUUAGGAACAAAUGAAGGAGAGAAGCUAAGUGGUGGCUGUCGAUCUGAGACGUGCCAGGUUCCACCUGGGUACCUCACACACUGCAUCUCUGUGAGCUUUGAAGAAUGUGGGAAGCACCUGCCUUAUGGGGAUUGGAAGAGCAAAGGUUGACAGGUCUGCGGUGGUCCCGGGAUAUAGGUCAGCUGUUCAGAAGUGUGCCCAACAUGUUAAAUGCUGGUUUCCUGGGCUCUCUGUCACUCUCAUCUCAGAGAUCUUGGGGCCUGAGUGUGAGAGACAAGUAACAGAAAGAUGAACGGAGAAGGACAAAUACAGAGGAUGCACUAUUUAUUUCCUGGGACCUUGCUUCUGUUGUACCUUGUUAAUCCUACGCUGUGGGUUGAAUUGAUGCUUUACAAGCUCACAAUAUACAGUUUUAUGAGUCC
This 1097-nucleotide long non-coding RNA is filed under the name Mus spretus (western wild mouse). Its description in RNAcentral is "predicted gene 15412 (ENSMSPG00010012425.1)". The record is from RNAcentral. Lineage: Eukaryota; Metazoa; Chordata; Mammalia; Rodentia; Muridae.